GAUGAACGCUGGCGGCGUGCCUAAUACAUGCAAGUCGAGCGAACAGACGAGGAGCUUGCUCCUCUGACGUUAGCGGCGGACGGGCGAGUAACACGUGGAUAACCUACCUAUAAGACUGGGAUAACUUCGGGAAACCGGAGCUAAUACCGGAUAACAUGUUGAACCGCAUGGUUCAACAGUGAAAGACGGUCUUGCUGUCACUUAUAGAUGGAUCCGCGCCGCAUUAGCUAGUUGGUAAGGUAACGGCUUACCAAGGCAACGAUGCGUAGCCGACCUGAGAGGGUGAUCGGCCACACUGGAACUGAGACACGGUCCAGACUCCUACGGGAGGCGGCAGUAGGGAAUCUUCCGCAAUGGGCGAAAGCCUGACGGAGCAACGCCGCGUGAGUGAAGAAGGUCUUCGGAUCGUAAAACUCUGUUAUUAGGGAAGAACAAAUGUGUAAGUAACUAUGCACGUCUUGACGGUACCUAAUCAGAAAGCCACGGCUAACUACGUG
This 497-nucleotide ribosomal RNA is filed under the name uncultured bacterium. Its description in RNAcentral is "partial 16S ribosomal RNA". It matches the Rfam family "Bacterial small subunit ribosomal RNA", at positions 28 to 507 of the family's 1533-position model. The record is from RNAcentral.